ACUCAAAGGAAUUGACGGGGGCUCACACAAGCGGUGGAGCAUGUGGCUUAAUUCGAGGCUACGCGAAGAACCUUAUCCUGGGCUUGACAUGUGCGAAAGCGGUGGGCAGUAGGGGGCGGAAACGUUCCCCCAACGGUAUCCAGUCCGGAACCCACUACAGGUGCUGCAUGGCUGUCGUCAGCUCGUGUCGUGAGAUGUUGGGUUAAGUCCCGUAACGAGCGAAACCCUUGUUUCCAGUUGCCAGCGCGUCACGGCGGGGACUCUGGAAAGACUGCCGGUGUUAAACCGGAGGAAGGUGGGGAUGACGUCAAGUCCUCAUGGCCUUGAUGCCCAGGGCUGCACACGUGCUACAAUGCCGUGAACAAAGGGACGCCAACCCGCGAGGGGGAGCCAAUCCCAAAAAACACGGCCCAGUUCAGAUCGAAGGCUGCAACUCGCCUUCGUGAAGUUGGAAUCGCUAGUAAUCGCAGGUCAGCAACACUGCGGUGAAUGUGUUCCUGAGCCUUGUACACACCGCCCGU
Molecule: ribosomal RNA, 521 nt
Filed under: uncultured bacterium
Lineage: Bacteria
Description: partial 16S ribosomal RNA
Rfam family: Bacterial small subunit ribosomal RNA
Source: RNAcentral